UACGGGGGGGGGCAAGCGUUGUUCGGAAUUACUGGGCGUAAAGGGCGCGUAGGCGGUCUGCUAAGUUGGAUGUGAAAACUCUGGGCUUAACCCAGAGCCUGCAUUCAAUACUGACAGGCUAGAGUUCUGGAGGGGAUAGCGGAAUUCCUGGUGUAGCGGUGAAAUGCGUAGAUAUCAGGAGGAACACCCGUGGCUAAGGCGGCUCUCUAGUACGGUACUGACGCUGAGACGCGAAAGCGUGGGG
Molecule: ribosomal RNA, 244 nt
Filed under: uncultured bacterium
Lineage: Bacteria
Description: partial 16S ribosomal RNA
Rfam family: Bacterial small subunit ribosomal RNA
Source: RNAcentral